Molecule: ribosomal RNA, 440 nt
Filed under: uncultured bacterium
Lineage: Bacteria
Description: partial 16S ribosomal RNA
Rfam family: Bacterial small subunit ribosomal RNA
Source: RNAcentral
CCUACGGGUGGCAGCAGUGGGGGAUAUUGCACAAUGGGGGAAACCCUGAUGCAGCGACGCCGCGUGGGUGAAGAAGCGCCUCGGCGCGUAAAGCCCUGUCAGCAGGGAAGAAAAUGACGGUACGUGAAGAAGAAGCCCCGGGUAACUACGUGCCAGCAGCCGCGGUAAUUUGUAGGGGGCAAGCGUUAUCCGGAUUUACUGGGUGUAAAGGGGGUGCAGAGGGCGAUGGAAGUCAGGAGGGAAAGCCCGGGGCCGAACACCGGGACUGCUCUUGAAACUGGGUGGCUGGAGUGCAGGAGGGGUAGGCGGAAUUCCUGGUGUAGCGGUGAAAUGCGUAGAUAUCAGGAGGAACACCGAUGGCGAAGGCGGCCUACUGGACUGCAACUGACGUUGAGGCCCGAAAGCGUGGGGAGCGAACAGGAUUAGAUACCCUUGUAGUC